GGGGGUAUAGCUCAGUGAUAGAGCACAUACUUGGCAUGCAUGUAGUCCUGGGUUCAAUCCCCAGUGUGUCUG
RNAcentral lists this transfer RNA (72 nucleotides) under Camelus bactrianus (Bactrian camel). It matches the Rfam family "tRNA". Rfam says of the family: Transfer RNA (tRNA) molecules are approximately 80 nucleotides in length. Their secondary structure includes four short double-helical elements and three loops (D, anti-codon, and T loops). RNAcentral also lists the same sequence under 1 other name. Lineage: Eukaryota; Metazoa; Chordata; Mammalia; Artiodactyla; Camelidae. The record is from Rfam by way of RNAcentral.